GCCUCAAUUCAAAGAAAGUUGGAGUCAGCUAUGUGAAUCGUCAGAAACAAUUACGCCUCAAUUCCAACAAAGUUGGAACUAUGACUCGAUUCCAAGAGAGUUGGAGUCGCACCUCAAUUCCAAGAAAGUAGGAGUCAGGUAUGUGAAUCGUCGCCUCAAUUCCAAUAAAGUUGGAAUCGCGCCUCAAUUCCAAUAAAGUUGGAGUCAGCUAUGUGAAUUGUCACAACCAAUUAUACCCUCGAUUCCAAGAAAGUUGGAAGUAGGACUCUGACUCCAAGAAAGUUGGACUUCGCGCCUCAAUUCAAAGAAAGUUGGAGUCAGCUAUGUGAAUCGUCAGAAACAAUUACGCCUCAAUUCCAACAAAGUUGGAACUAUGACUCGAUUCCAAGAGAGUUGGAGUCGCACCUCAAUUCCAGGAAAGUAGGAGUCAGGUAUGUGAAUCGUCGCCUCAAUUCCAAUAAAGUUGUAAUCGCGCCUCAAUUCCAAUAAAGUUGGAGUCAGCUAUGUGAAUUGUCACAACCAAUUAUACCCUCGAUUCCAAGAAAGUUGGAAGUAGGACUCUGACUCCAAGAAAGUUGGACUUCGCGCCUCAAUUCAAAGAAAGUUGGAGUCAGCUAUGUGAAUCGUCAGAAACAAUUACGCCUCAAUUCCAACAAAGUUGGAACUAUGACUCGAUUCCGAGAAAGUUGGAGUCGCACCUCAAUUCCAGGAAAGUAGGAGUCAGGUAUGUGAAUCGUCGCCUCAAUUCCAAUAAAGUUGUAAUCGCGCCUCAAUUCCAAUAAAGUUGGAGUCAGCUAUGUGAAUUGUCACAACCAAUUAUACCCUCGAUUCCAAGAAAGUUGGAAGUAGGACUCUGACUCCAAGAAAGUUGGACUUCGCGCCUCAAUUCAAAGAAAGUUGGAGUCAGCUAUGUGAAUCGUCAGAAACAAUUACGCCUCAAUUCCAACAAAGUUGGAACUAUGACUCGAUUCCGAGAAAGUUGGAGUCGCACCUCAAUUCCAAGAAAGUAGGAGUCAGGUAUGUGAAUCGUCGUCACAAACAAUUACGCCUCAAUUCCAAGAAAGUUGGAAGUAUGACUCGAUUACAAGAAAGUUGGAGUCAUGCUUCAAUCCCAAGAAAGUUGGAGACGGCUAUGUAAAUCAUCGUCAAGAAGAAAAGGCUUUU
This 1164-nucleotide long non-coding RNA is filed under the name Capsicum annuum. Its description in RNAcentral is "long non-coding RNA (CANN_LNC009037)". The record is from RNAcentral. Lineage: Eukaryota; Viridiplantae; Streptophyta; Magnoliopsida; Solanales; Solanaceae.